RNAcentral lists this ribosomal RNA (253 nucleotides) under uncultured bacterium. RNAcentral's name for it is "partial 16S ribosomal RNA". It matches the Rfam family "Bacterial small subunit ribosomal RNA", at positions 524 to 776 of the family's 1533-position model. The record is from RNAcentral.
UACGUAGGUGGCAAGCGUUGUCCGGAAUUAUUGGGCGCAAAGCGCGCGCAGGCGGUCCCUUAAGUCUGAUGUGAAAGCCCACGGCUCAACCGUGGAGGGUCAUUGGAAACUGGGGGACUUGAGUGCAGAAGAGGAAAGUGGAAUUCCAUGUGUAGCGGUGAAAUGCGUAGAGAUGUGGAGGAACACCAGUGGCGAAGGCGACUUUCUGGUCUGUAACUGACGCUGAGGCGCGAAAGCGUGGGGAGCAAACAGG